GCUGGAAACAACCCAGAUGUCCCGCAGUAGAAGAAAGAAUACAGAAAAUAUGGUUCGUUUACUCUCUGGAAUUCUUGUCAGCUAUUAAGAACGAGGACAUCCUGAGUUUUGCGGACAAAUGGAUGGAACUAGAAAAUAUCAUCCUGAGUGAGGUGACUCAGACCCAAAAGAACAUGCACGUUCCAGGAAAUCCAACACAUUCCCCUGACCUCCAUGGGAAAUGCAUUAACCUGGUUCGCAAACUUCAUGCAGACAAAGCACUCAUACAUAUAAAAUGCUUUAAAUAUGGAAGACUCUUGGACUCCUGUGAUCACCAGACGAUCAUGGCUGGAUGUGCCUGUUGUAGAAUGAGGACAAGGUGCAGAUGAGCUGCCCCAGUGGAGGCUGCCUGAAGUGGGACAACAGCUGGACAGCUGCUGUGUGAGUCCUAGCGGAAUCCUGAAGCAUCAUAUAGCCACGCCCAGCUAAGAGCAGCAGCACUGCACAGCCACCGUACAGCUCAGACCCACUGAAGUGCAAACACAGCGAAGAGAAGGUGCCAAUGAGGAGAGCAGUGCAGUAUGAUAUGCUGACAUCCGCUAAGCUAUCCAUCUGUAUCAAAACAAAGAGGGUGGGGGUGGGGUGAUGGGCAUAAUGAGUCUCCUGGAGCGGUGUGCACAGAGGACACACCAGCACUUUGAAAAUGGCCCUUUCUUGAAGUAGAAGCUGUUUAGUUUAAGUAUUCAUGUCCACCUACUCUUUUAUAGAAAACAUGGGGAUAUGCUCUCUAGCAUAUCAAACAACUACAAGGCAUAGAGCAAAAGCAUCAAAAUCCAGGCUGGAAAAAUCCUACAGGGCUGGGGAAUGGAGUUGGGCAGUAGAGCUUAUACGUGAGGUCCUGGGUUCAAUCCCCACCACAGAAACAAAGGCAUUAGAAUCAAUAAGAAAUAAAGAAAGGGUGAUGGAGAGAUGACUCGAAUGUUUAUGAGCUUGGCUGCUUUUC
Rattus norvegicus (Norway rat) is the source of this 982-nucleotide long non-coding RNA. RefSeq lists it as uncharacterized. The record is from RefSeq and is a predicted model, not a curated record. Lineage: Eukaryota; Metazoa; Chordata; Mammalia; Rodentia; Muridae.